CCUACGGGUGGCAGCAGUGAGGAAUAUUGGUCAAUGGACGAGAGUCUGAACCAGCCAAGCCGCGUGAAGGAAGAAGGAUCUAUGGUUUGUAAACUUCUUUUAUAGGGGAAUAAAGGUAUCCACGUGUGGAUAUUUGCAUGUACCCUAUGAAUAAGCAUCGGCUAACUCCGUGCCAGCAGCCGCGGUAAUACGGAGGAUGCGAGCGUUAUCCGGAUUUAUUGGGUUUAAAGGGUGCGUAGGUUGUUUUUUAAGUCAGCGGUGAAAGUUUGUGGCUCAACCAUAAAAUUGCCGUUGAAACUGGAUGACUUGAGUGUGGUUGAGGUAGGCGGAAUGCGUGGUGUAGCGGUGAAAUGCGUAGAUAUUACGCAGAACUCCGAUUGCGAAGGCAGCUUACUGGGCCAUAACUGACGCUGAGGCGCGAAAGCGUGGGGAGCAAACAGGAUUAGAUACCCUGGUAGUC
This 460-nucleotide ribosomal RNA is filed under the name uncultured bacterium. Its description in RNAcentral is "partial 16S ribosomal RNA". It matches the Rfam family "Bacterial small subunit ribosomal RNA", at positions 338 to 795 of the family's 1533-position model. The record is from RNAcentral.